Molecule: long non-coding RNA, 174 nt
Filed under: Sinocyclocheilus anshuiensis
Lineage: Eukaryota; Metazoa; Chordata; Actinopteri; Cypriniformes; Cyprinidae
Description: lncRNA (ENSSANG00000008446.1)
Source: RNAcentral
CACACACUCAUAUAAACACACACGACAGCUUCAUCUGCUCUCCUGUCUGGACUUUUACUAUUGAACCGAUGUCAUCUCAAUAGCCAUGUCUUCAGAGAAGAGAGCAAAGCGGUAAAGAAGAAGAAAACCGAGAAGGACAAAGAAGCGCCAACAGAGAAGAACAUAAAAAAGAAG